UACGUAGGGCGCGAGCGUUUGUCCGGAAUCAUUGGGCGUAAAGAGCUCGUAGGCGGCCUGUCGCGUCUGCUGUGAAAUCCCGGGGCUUAACCCCGGGCGUGCAGUGGAUACGGGCUGGCUGGAGGCAGGCAGGGGAGAACGGAAUUCCCGGUGUAGCGGUGAAAUGCGCGAGAUAUCGGGAGGAACACCGGUGGCGAAGGCGGUUCUCUGGGCCUGUACUGACGCUGAGGAGCGAAAGCGUGGGGAGCGAACAGG
Molecule: ribosomal RNA, 255 nt
Filed under: uncultured bacterium
Lineage: Bacteria
Description: partial 16S ribosomal RNA
Rfam family: Bacterial small subunit ribosomal RNA
Source: RNAcentral